RNAcentral lists this ribosomal RNA (253 nucleotides) under uncultured bacterium. RNAcentral describes it as "partial 16S ribosomal RNA". It matches the Rfam family "Bacterial small subunit ribosomal RNA", at positions 524 to 776 of the family's 1533-position model. The record is from RNAcentral.
UACGUAGGGUCCAAGCGUUGUCCGGAUUUAUUGGGCGUAAAGAGCUCGUAGGCGGUCUGUCGCGUCGAUCGUGAAAACUUGGGGCUUAACCCUGAGCUUGCGGUCGAUACGGGCGGGCUGGAGUUCGGUAGGGGAGACUGGAAUUCCUGGUGUAGCGGUGAAAUGCGCAGAUAUCAGGAGGAACACCGGUGGCGAAGGCGGGUCUCUGGGCCGAAACUGACGCUGAGGAGCGAAAGCGUGGGGAGCAAACAGG